CAGCAGCCGCGGUAAUACGUAGGUGGCAAGCGUUGUCCGGAAUUAUUGGGCGUAAAGGGCUCGCAGGCGGUUUCUUAAGUCUGAUGUGAAAGCCCCCGGCUCAACCGGGGAGGGUCAUUGGAAACUGGGAAACUUGAGUGCAGAAGAGGAGAGCGGAAUUCCACGUGUAGCGGUGAAAUGCGUAGAGAUGUGGAGGAACACCAGUGGCGAAGGCGACUCUCUGGUCUGUAACUGACGCUGAGGAGCGAAAGCGUGGGGAGCGAACAGGAUUAGAUACCCGAGUAGUCCCUGUCUCUUAUAU
RNAcentral lists this ribosomal RNA (301 nucleotides) under uncultured bacterium. RNAcentral describes it as "partial 16S ribosomal RNA". It matches the Rfam family "Bacterial small subunit ribosomal RNA", at positions 509 to 809 of the family's 1533-position model. The record is from RNAcentral.